RNAcentral lists this ribosomal RNA (253 nucleotides) under uncultured bacterium. RNAcentral describes it as "partial 16S ribosomal RNA". It matches the Rfam family "Bacterial small subunit ribosomal RNA", at positions 524 to 776 of the family's 1533-position model. The record is from RNAcentral.
GACAGAGGUGCCGAGCGUUAGGCGGAAUCACUGGGCUUAAAGCGUGUGUAGGCGGACCGUUAAGUGUCUUGUGAAAUCCCCCGGCUCAACCGGGGAAUUGCUGGGCAUACUGGCGGUCUUGAGCAGUCUAGGGGCAGAUGGAACAAGUGGUGGAGCGGUGAAAUGCGUAGAUAUCACUUGGAACGCCAAUGGUGAAAACAGACUGCUGGGGGUUCGCUGACGCUGAGACACGAAAGCCAGGGGAGCAAACGGG